RNAcentral lists this ribosomal RNA (497 nucleotides) under uncultured bacterium. RNAcentral describes it as "partial 16S ribosomal RNA". It matches the Rfam family "Bacterial small subunit ribosomal RNA", at positions 28 to 507 of the family's 1533-position model. The record is from RNAcentral.
GAUGAACGCUGGCGGCGUGCCUAAUACAUGCAAGUCGAGCGAACAGACGAGGAGCUUGCUCCUCUGACGUUAGCGGCGGACGGGUGAGUAACACGUGGAUAACCUACCUAUAAGACUGGGAUAACUUCGGGAAACCGGAGCUAAUACCGGAUAAUAUAUUGAACCGCAUGGUUCAAUAGUGAAAGACGGUUUGGCUGUCACUUAUAGAUGAAUCCGCGCCGCAUUAGCUAGUUGGUAAGGUAACGGCUUACCAAGGCAACGAUGCGUAGCCGACCUGAGAGGGUGAUCGGCCACACUGGAACUGAGACACGGUCCAGACUCCUACGGGAGGCAGCAGUAGGGAAUCUUCCGCAAAGGGCGAAAGCUUGACGGAGCAACGCCGCGUGAGUGAUGAAGGUCUUCGGAUCGUAAAACUCUGUUAUUAGGGAAGAACAAAUGUGUAAGUAACUAUGCACGUCUUGACGGUACCUAAUCAGAAAGCCACGGCUAACUACGUG